AUCCUGUAUUUUUUAACUUUGCAUGUGAGUCAGAAGUGCCCUGGCAGCCAGGAGGGCCAACUGUGUCCUGGGGGGCAUCUGGCAAAGCAUCGCCAGAUUGUAGAGGGAGGGGAUUGUACCCCUCUGCUCUGCACUGGGGCAGCCUCACCUCUAAUAUUAUAUGCAGUUUUGGGCAC
Molecule: long non-coding RNA, 176 nt
Organism: Empidonax traillii (willow flycatcher)
Lineage: Eukaryota; Metazoa; Chordata; Aves; Passeriformes; Tyrannidae
Exons: 3
Source: RefSeq, a predicted model, not a curated record